GACGAACGCUGGCGGCGCGCCUAACACAUGCAAGUCGAACGGUGAACGGGGCUUCGGCUCCGGGAUCAGUGGCGAACGGGUGCGUAACACGUGGGCAACCUGCCCCAGACCCUGGGAUAACCCCGGGAAACCGGAGCUAAUACCGGAUACUCCGGCCGAACCGCAUGGCUCGGCCGGGAAAGGUCCGCCGGUCUGGGAUGGGCCCGCGGCCUAUCAGCUUGUUGGUGAGGUAACGGCUCACCAAGGCGACGACGGGUAGCUGGUCUGAGAGGACGACCAGCCACACUGGGACUGAGAUACGGCCCAGACUCCUACGGGAGGCAGCAGUGGGGAAUCUUGCACAAUGGGCGAAAGCCUGAUGCAGCGACGCCGCGUGAGGGAUGAAGGCCUUCGGGUCGUAAACCUCUUUCGGCAGGGACGAAGCGAAAGUGACGGUACCUGCAGAAGAAGCACCGGCCAACUACGUGCCAGCAGCCGCGGUAAUACGUAGGGUGCAAGCGUUGUCCGGAAUUAUUGGGCGUAAAGAGCUCGUAGGCGGUUUGUUGCGUCGGCUGUGAAAUCCCGAGGCUCAACCUCGGGUCUGCAGUCGAUACGAGCAAACUAGAGUGUUGCAGGGGAGACUGGAAUUCCUGGUGUAGCGGUGAAAUGCGCAGAUAUCAGAGGAACACCGGUGGCGAAAGCGGGUCUCUGGGCAACAACUGACGCAGGGGAGCGAAAGCGUGGGGAGCGAACAGGAUUAGAUACCCUGGUAGUCCACGCCGUAAACGUUGGGCGCUAGGUGUGGGGCUCAUUCCACGAGUUCCGUGCCGCAGCUAACGCAUUAAGCGCCCGCCUGGGGAGUACGCCGCAGGCUAA
Molecule: ribosomal RNA, 855 nt
Filed under: uncultured bacterium
Lineage: Bacteria
Description: bacterial SSU rRNA
Rfam family: Bacterial small subunit ribosomal RNA
Source: RNAcentral